UGCGAAGCACUGUCAGUGUCAGCUGAGGUAGAAAGAAUCUCUUUUGCUAGAGGAGACUGUCACAUCUGCUCUUUCCUCUUUCCUUACUUCCCCUGGAGUCAUGACACCGUUUCCAGCGCAUGGACUGUGACAGGAACCUAUUGAGGGGAGAUUUGGGAUAGAGAAGUUGAAAAGAAGCUUAACAAACGAAGACGAUGACGAAGUCGUGUUUAUUAUCUGGUUUCGUCUACACGUUGUUCUGCGUAUUCGUUUUGUCAUUUUGUGUACAAUUUUAUCCUUGCUGCUUAUCUUGCUGUGAUGUAGAUGCUGUUCUGUUCUGAAAUUUUUCUGCAUAUGUAUAGUCGAACAACACCUAUCACUAUGCCUGACCAAGUAACUCAUAAUACUCGAAAGCGUCGCGCAUCUGAAGGCAGCCACUCACCAGUACGACAAAAGCGAACUGCAACCCUUAAAGAAAAUAAAAACAAAGCCACCGUGAACAGCUUAGCGAAUUUAUGCACUUCUGCAUUAAUACAAACCAUCGCAACAUCAAUUUCUCACUUAUCCGCCAUACAAAAAAAUCCGGAGCACGAACCCCUCGCAAAUUACGAUUUAGUGCCCAUUUUCGACCCGUUGACAUCGAACCUAUCCGUCACCAGAUGGUUGAAUAGAAUCGAUGAUAUGAGUACCAUGUUUCACUGGACGCCACCGAUGACCAUUUAUGCAGCACUGUCAAGAUUAGAAGGUGUAGCGAAAACUUGGUACGAAGGGCUGAACUCUGUAAAUCACACUUGGCCCGAAUGGAAGGAGUUGAUGCGAAACGCUUUUCCUGAAAGAGAUUAUUGUCAAAUGCUAAGCGAAAUGGUUGUUAGGAAGAAGCGUCCUGAUGAAACGUACAUGCAAUAUGUUCAUGAAAAGAUGGUUUUAAUUAAUAUGUGUGAAUUAGACGAGAAGAAAGCUGUAUCACUUCUGAUUGAUGGUAUAGAAGAUACAAAUGUAAAAACUAUGGCAUAUGCUGGACAUCAUGAAAAUCCAUGGAGUUUACUUUCGUACCUAAGUAGUGAGUAGAAUCAAAACUCCUGAAGAAUCUCCUUCAAACAAAAGUUCCUCAAAUUUUUCCUCUUCUCAAACGUCUGCAAAUUGUUCGUCGUUGGGAGAUGUCUCGAUGCGUCAAAAAUGCCUUGUUUGAGUGUCUUAAUCUGUGGCAAGCGAGGGCAUUACGCCAAGCAUUGUCAGUCAUCGCAGUAAAGGGGCUUGUUUGCAUGAUGCACAAACACAGAUGCAUUUAAUAAGUAUUUACCUAGUGCAUUUUUUGAUGGCCAUUUUUCUCAUUUAUUCCUAGUAUGUAAUUUGUAAGAGGAGUUUUGUAAAUUUUGAAAAAUAAAAGAUGAAGAUGUUGAA
Molecule: long non-coding RNA, 1380 nt
Organism: Planococcus citri (citrus mealybug)
Lineage: Eukaryota; Metazoa; Arthropoda; Insecta; Hemiptera; Pseudococcidae
Exons: 2
Source: RefSeq, a predicted model, not a curated record